Non-coding RNA from Manis javanica (Malayan pangolin), 669 nucleotides. The record is from RefSeq and is a predicted model, not a curated record. Lineage: Eukaryota; Metazoa; Chordata; Mammalia; Pholidota; Manidae.
GCUUCAAGAAAACACUGAUGAUGUCUGUUUUGCCCACAACUAUUUCCCAGCAACUAUAGAGUUGGAAAAGGGUUAUGCAUAGGUUCCAAGGCUCCUGCAUUUCCAACAUGGAACCUGCAUUCCAACUUCCAUAUCCAAGAAAUGGAAUCUGCCCAGCUCUCCAGGGAUGAAGACUGCCGCUGUCCUUCAUCAAUGCCUGGAAAGAAGUGUUCAAUACCAGAGACUUUUUAAAUGUUUUUUUAAAAUGCAAUCUCAAGGGGUCCCAUUUCAAAGACCAUGGAACUGUAUAGAUGACCACAAAGUUAAUGGGAGAAAUUGAGGCAAUCAUUUAGGUAAUUCAGAACAGAUAUUGUGUUUCAGAGGUUUAGAUAAUUGGGGCAAAAGUCAGUGGAGUCUGGUGUAGUUGGAUGAUUGCUUAAUUCUCCACUGUGCAUUUUAUGCCUAAGUGGGUGGCUGGGGAGGUCAAAUUCCCUGCUGAGAAAUCUCAAAACAAAGGAAUGGAAAACACAUGAAAGAAGUUGCUUUUGCUUUUCUAAUGAGUGAGAAAAAUGUGCUCCAACAAUUAACUCACUCAAGCUUUGUGGAAUGUUAGGCAAAGAUUUUCCUACAUAAAUUAACAAUUCAUUAUAUCCCAUCUCUACUGAUGGAGAAAAUACUUCUAGAGAUGUG